CCGAGUCCUCAUAAAGAUAUUCUAUCUAUAUUUGGUACCGUAUAUCCGACUAAAUUAUAACUGUCAUGUUGAUAUGGGGUAUCCAUAAUCUCCACAGUAGCCCCCGAGACCUUCGCAGUUGACAAAAUAGCCUUCUCGAAACAAAAAACAGUAAUCCGAGUGCUUCAAUUUAACUUGCUCUAGCUUGCCGAGUGCUAAAAGACUGUGAAGGGCAAAAAUAAAACAUGGUGCAUCGAGUAGAUGCACCUACUUAGGUGUAGCCCCUGACUAUGUGAUUAGUUGAAAAACUAAACAUGUAGUCAAGAACCGAGUGGUUUUAUAACGAAGCAUGCAUGGUACUCAAUAAAAUACUCAGCCGACUUCUUCUCAACUUGAACAUAUCAAGGAUAAAAAAUAGGAAAAGGGCCGAGUAAUAAACACUUAAAAGGUCCAAAAAUAGACAUAUUUGAUAUGAAUCCGAGUAAGAAACUCUUAAAAUGAUCCAUCAAACAUGAUAAAAAUCAUGGUAAUCAACGAGUCUAAUAGCCUAAGCUAUGACUCUCACCAUAACCAAAUUAAGCAUAUAACAUGCUAAGAGAAUGACCCUUAAUAAAUUAGUCAUCUCGAAUCAACCCAAACAGCUUUUGCAACCUCAUAAGGCUUACAAAAAUAGUAUAACACCUUCCUGUCGGGCACCUUUUGUUUGCAUCGUGUUAAUUCCAAAGAAUUAUCAAACCGCAUUAAAAGGAUUUUAACAGCAUUGGGCCACAUCAUUGUGAGCACAAAUUGCCAAAGCAAAAAGCGCCUAAAUCCCUAGGGAUCACAACGGGUCAUGCUGAAAAUAAAAUUGGGCCGAAAUACUGUGUUUAGGCCCAAGCCCAUUAGUACUCCUGAUACCCUAAUAACACCGAAGUAAAAUGAAACGUCUCUUCGUCUUCCCCGCCGAGACUCUCGCCAUUUUCCCCAUUUCCUGCUACAGUACAAAACUGUGCCGGCAAAACUAGGGUUCAUCAAUCCACUCCAAUCCAUCCUUAAAAACUUCACGAAAUUUCCCCCCACGUCCACUGCUCCGAUUCUCCAUCUCUUUCCAGCCAUAUCUCGGACCAAAUUAAACCAUCCAGUUCACAUUCAUGGCGGAAGAAAGAGAAAGCUUCGAGAGUCAGUGGGCGCCCUCCGAUGUGACGGAAGAUAAUCUGAAGGAGAUGGUGGCGCAUGGCGUUCUUCCGAUGAAGGAGAUCAUCGAGUGGUGACCGGCAUUCGGUGAAGCAUUCCCGACCCCCGAUACGCAUGAAGUCGUGGUAUUUGCUCAUUUCUUCUAUGGCGGUUUCUCCCUUCCAACCUCAAGAUUUUUUCGGGGAAUUCUGAAUUUCUAUGGAAUUAGCCUGCAUCAUCUGAACCCAAACUCCAUAGUUCACAUCGCCAAUUUUAUUCAUGCCUGUGAAGCCUUUUUAGGUAUUAGGCCACAUUUCGCCUUGUUCCACCGCAUCUUUUUCCUUAAGCCUCAGCCAAACAAGAGCAAACCAUGUGUUGUUGGGGGGGGGGGGCUGGUUUCCAACUCAGGGGAACCUUAAGCCAAAAAUACUUCUCUAUGCCCUUCAAAACCUCAAACAAAGGCUAGCACGCAAAUUGGUUUUAUGUUCAAAACCCUGAGCCUGCUCUUCCCGAGUACUCCUGUCUUCCUCCAGUUUAUCGGGAUACUUGGAACUCACUGGCAAUGGGAGAUGAAGCUGCGCAAGCAGUGGAACUGAUGGAGAGGAUGAUAAAGCUAAAAGAACAAGGCCUUCAAGGAGAACAGAUCACCCAGCACUUUAUCAAGUGUCGGUUAGCUCCAAUCAAAGAGAGAUCUCGCACAGCCUUCGAAUUUGACGGCAAGCAUGACCCAAACCGUGAAGAUCCAGAUUCUCUUGACUUCAAGGUCAUGAAGGAAAGGAUGUAUAAGAUCUUCUCAAAUGCUAUCGUUGUCAGCUAUUCACACUUGCUGCCAGUCGUACCGUUCAAUGCAUUCAAUCCUCCUCCACCGGUAUGUAUUCUAACGUUCCAACCUUCCUCAAAAACAUGAUUUCGUCUCUUGUUGAAUUGCUCGACAUUUAUGCUCAGGAGUUCGCAUUGAUGAAGUCAAAUCCUCCAAUCGCCCAGCACCAAUCACCUCACCGCCAAACUGGUCAGGGAAGCGGGGGACCAAGAAUUCGGUCUGAAACCCAACCAAGUGCUUCUGAUCCAGUCGGCCAGUCAGAUUCUCGCAAGAGGAAGCUGGUUCCAAGUGACGAUGAAGGCGAUGAUACCGGAAAGCUCAAAGAUAAAGGAACGACCGGAAAACCUCCGAAGCCAACUAAUCCGAAGAAGAAAACCUCCAGUCGUCCUUUCCCAAAAAUCAGAAAGUCUUCCAGAUUCCUCAAAAGAAACCGGGCCGUCUGCAAAAGAUCACCCGAGUGAUAAUCCGCAAGCCAGCGACAAUGUAGAACCCAGCGACGAACCCACGACUGCAAGCCAGUCGGCCGAAGCUGGAGUCGGAGUUAACCAGGAGCCCCCGACUGGAAACCAAUCGGAUACAGGGCCAAGCCAAAAGAUUCCCGAGGUUGAAGCUCAAACAAACAGUCCUCCCGGGAAGGGUGCUGGCAAUGACUCAGAAAUCAGAUCUCCUGCGAAGACACAAGAGUCUACUCGUCCCCGACCGGGAAUCAUCACAGGGCCAAUAAUUGGUGAGGAAGAAGAAAUCCUCCGGAUACGAGCAGCUGAGGAUUCGCGCCCUCCCAUUCUAGUCAAGUGGUAGGAUGACAACAUGCAGCCUCAAGGAAUCGUAAUAAACAAGCAAAAAGAGGACGAAGAGUUAUGCCUACUGAAAAAGGCACUUGGUCAGGCAACCUGCAUUGUAAAUAGGAUUCAUCUUAGGAACAAAGCUAAAACGACAGCCUUAGAGAGGUUAGUCCCUCAUCUCAGAACCCUCGAAGCCACCAGGAAUCAACUGCACGAAACAAAAGAACUUGCCAGGAAGAAUGAACAUGAUCUGAGGGAUCGGAUUGCUGAGCUCCAGGAAUCCAAUUUUGAACUGAGCGGCUCAUCAAAAGUGCAAGCUGCCAAGAUAUCUCAACUGGAGAAGUAGAUUCAAACUCUAGAAAAUGACAAGGCAGAACUGGCAAGACAGAGGGACUUGGCUUUAAAGGAGGUUGAAGACCGCAAGAUCAAGUCGCGGGCUCAAUUCGACGUCCUGGUUGGCAAGAUCAAAAAACUUGAAGGAGCUCGGGAUGAAGUCGCUAACGCUGCUACCCCACUUGUUCAAGCGAUGUUCUUCAAUAACAAUGGCUCGAGUACACUUAAUGCUUCUGAAAUCUUCGACAAGCUGAGAGUUGCUCCGGAUACAUAUUUCAAGAACAUCAAAGAAGCUGGAAGUAUGGGAGCAAGUCUGGCGUUGGCGAUGACCAAAUCCCUUUAUCCAAGAGUUGACAUUGAUGCCAUUGAUGGCUUUGCAGACGGGACGAGCGAAGAAGCUGCUCUUGACCUCAUCAGUGGUGCGCAAAAAUCUGCCGAUAAGAUAGCAAUCGAUGUAGUUGAAAGAUUUCAGGACAUCGAUCUCCGACCGACUGGUCCUGGUAAUUCUGAUGAUGAAAAGACUGAUACUGGUUGAUAUAACAAUGAUUUUGAUGAUUAAUGAUGAUGGAGGCACAAUUUGUACAAUACUGAUGAAUUUAUGCUACGCUUGGUAUUCCAUACUUAGCUUCUGAUUUCUUAAAAGCCUUUGUCAAGCCUUAUUGAACCUAAAACCCGCAAAAGCUAUUAAAAACCUUCAGUCCUCAUUGACUAAGUUGAAAGACCAAGCAGGGCAAUGAUAAAUCAAGUAAGCAAAUUGAAUUGAUAAAAAUCACACUCCAUUAUUAUCAUAAUAGCCCCCGACAGAUAACUUCAAGGGAAAGCUUGAUGUUGUCGGUCAAAACAGGGAAAUAGAGAAAUGAACUUAGGCAUAAAAACGACGAAGAUGUUCUAUAUUCCAAGAAUUGUCGACAGGUGUACCGUCUUCACGCUUUAGUCGAUAAGAACCUGGCCGGGUUACUUCAGAGAUUAUACACGACCCUUCCCAUAAAGGAGAUAACUUGUGUCGAUCCUGUGUAGUUUGAAUUUUCCUCAAAACCAGGUCUCCGACUAAGAAAGCUCGUAAUAAGACGUUACGGUUAUGAUAACGACGCAACCCUUGCAAAUAUCGGGCCGACUGAAUUAGGGCUGCUUCACGGGCCUCUUCCAGUCGGUGUAGAUCAUCUACUCGGUCUUCUCCAUAGCGCUCCUCACGAAAGUUGCGGAAACGCAAAGAUUCAAAUUCUACCUUGCUAGGCAACAUUGCCUCUGCUCCAUAAACCAGGAAGAACGGCGACUGGCCUGUAGCCCGACUGGGAGUGGUGCGUAAGGACCAGAGUAUGGAUGGCAGCUGUUCCACCCAUUUGCUGGCAUAGGGAUUCAAUCGAUCAAAAACUCAUGCCUUUAUUCCUUGGAGUAGCAUGCCGUUGGCUCGUUCAACCUGUCUAUUACUCAUAGGGUGCGCUACGGAGGCAUAGCAAA
Molecule: RNA transcript, 4524 nt
Organism: Oryza sativa Japonica Group (Japanese rice)
Lineage: Eukaryota; Viridiplantae; Streptophyta; Magnoliopsida; Poales; Poaceae
Source: RefSeq, a predicted model, not a curated record